This 510-nucleotide ribosomal RNA is filed under the name bacterium enrichment culture clone ALO1_GLFRUDD03GX0IS. Its description in RNAcentral is "bacterial SSU rRNA". It matches the Rfam family "Bacterial small subunit ribosomal RNA", at positions 9 to 516 of the family's 1533-position model. The record is from RNAcentral.
GAGUUUGAUCGUGGCUCAGAUUGAACGCUGGCGGCAGGCCUAACACAUGCAAGUCGAGCGGAUGACGGGAGCUUGCUCCUUGAUUCAGCGGCGGACGGGUGAGUAAUGCCUGGGAAUCUGCCUGGUAGUGGGGGACAACGUUUCGAAAGGAACGCUAAUACCGCAUACGUCCUACGGGAGAAAGCAGGGGACCUUCGGGCCUUGCGCUAUCAGAUGAGCCUAGGUCGGAUUAGCUAGUUGGUGGGGUAAUGGCUCACCAAGGCGACGAUCCGUAACUGGUCUGAGAGGAUGAUCAGUCACACUGGAACUGAGACACGGUCCAGACUCCUACGGGAGGCAGCAGUGGGGAAUAUUGGACAAUGGGCGAAAGCCUGAUCCAGCCAUGCCGCGUGUGUGAAGAAGGUCUUCGGAUUGUAAAGCACUUUAAGUUGGAGAAGGGCAGUAGUUAAUACCUUGCUGUUUUGACGUUUACCGACAGAAUAAGCACCGGCUAACUCUGUGCCAGCCGCG